UUGGAGAGUUGAGCGAGGUUCUGUCGAGGUUCCAGUCUACGACUCUGUCAUUACAUCAAAAAUAAAAAUUAUAAGUUAAAACAUAAAUGAAAUUACAAAAUUCCUAUCUAUGCGACUUCUUUUGGACUCUUGACUUGAGUUUCAUCACCCUAUUCUUCAGGCGGGCUCCUGACUUGUAAUUUCUUCAACUUUUUGCCUGACUUUCAAUUUCUUCACCCUGUUCUCUAGGUGGGCUCCUGACUUGCUAUUUUUCAAUUUGUGGACUUUCAAUUUCUUCACCUUGUUAUUUGACUUUCAAUUUAUUCUCCCUGUGCUUCAGGCGGGUUCCAAUGUUGCUUGAAUUAUCAAAACAAGGAAGUGUGCUGCUUACAAAUGCCGCUUGAAUUACCCAAACAAGGAAGUGCGUCUCCUUACAAAUUCCGGUUGAAUUACCCAAACAAGAAAGUGCAUCUCCUUACAAAUGUCGAUUGAAUUACCCAAACAAGGAAGUGCGUCUCCUUACAAAUGCUACUUGAAUUUUGAAAUAAGAAAGUACGUCUCAUUUCCAAUGCCGCUUGAAUUACCUAAAUAAGGAAGUGCGUCUCCUUACAAAUGCCCAUUGAAUUACCAAAAUAAGGAAGUACGUCUCCUUACAAAUGCCGCUUGAAUUACCAAAAUAAGAAAGUGCGUCUCCUUACCAAUGCCUGUUGAAUUACCCAAAUAAGGAAGUGCAUCUCUUUACAAAUGCCGCUUGAAUUACACAAACAAGGAAAUGUGUCUCCUUACAAAUGCCACUUGAAUUAACCAAACAAGAAAGUGCGUCUCCUUACCAAUGUUGCUUGAAAUGUCCAAACAAAGAAGUGCGUCCCCUUACAAAUACUACUUGAAUUACCAAACAAGGAAGUGCGUCUCCUAACAAAUGUUUCUUGACUUACCAAAACAAGGAAGUGCUUCUUCUUACCAAUGUAGCUUGAGUUACCCAAACAAGGAAGUGCGUCUCCUUACAAAUGCCACUUGAAUUACACAAACAAAGAAAUAUGUCUCCUUACAAAUACCACUUGAAUUAACCAAACAAGGAAGUGCGUCUCCUUACAAAUAUUGCUUGAAAUGUCCAAACAAGGAAGUGUGUCCCCUUACAAAUACCACUUGAAUUACCAAACAAGGAAGUGCAUCUCCUAACAAAUGUCUCUUGAAUUACCAAAACAAGGAAGUGCAUCUCCUUACCAACGCCGCUUGAAUUACCCAAACAAGAAAGUAUGUCUUCUUACAAAUACCGCUUGAAUUACACAAACAAAGAAAUGCGUCUCCUUACAAAUACCACUUGAAUUAACCAAAUAAGGAAGUGUGUCUCCUUACAAAUGUUGCUUGAAAUGUUCAAUAAAGAAAGUACGUCCCCUUACAAAUACCAUUUGAAUUACCAAACAAGGAAGUGCGUCUCCUAACAAAUGUCUCUUGAAUUACCAAAAAGAGGAAGUGCGUCACCUUACCAAUGCCGCUUGAAUUACCCAAACAAGGAAAUGUGUCUCCUUACAAUUGUCGCUUGAAUUACACAAACAAGGAAAUGUGUCUCCUUACAAAUGUCACUUGAAUUAACUAAACAAGAAAGUGUGUCUCCUUAUAAAUGUCGCUUGAAUUACCCAAACAAGGAAGUGCAUCUCCUUACAAAUAUUGCUUGGAUUACCCAAACAAGAAAGUGCAUCUCCUUACAAAUGUUGCUUGAAUUGCCCAAACAAGGAAGUUUGUUUCCUUACCAAUGUUGCUUGAAUUAACCAAACAAGAAAGUGCGUCUCCUUACAAAUAUUACUUGAAUUAUCCAGACAAGAAAGUGUGUCUCCUCACAAAUAUCACUUGAAUUAUCUAAACAAGGAAGCGCAUCUCCUUACAAAUGUCUCUUGAGUUAUCCAAACAAGGAAGUGUGUCUCCUAGAGAUAUUGGAUGAUGAGUUUUACCAUGGUUUUGAUUACCAAGCCUGUGCACAAUAUUGUCUCCUGCAUUUGUGGAAGUGAGACAUUGCAACUUUUCAUGUUUAGGCUUUGAAAUCCUUGAUUCGAAGGUAAUAUGUAUUCCUGUUUCAUACAAAGAAAACUUGUUAGUUUAAAAACAUGGUGGCUGAUUUGUGGCUUUGGCUUUUGUGGCAAUCGCUCUUACCCUUGUCACAUUAAUCUUGCUGUCAACCAUUAGCAUAUGUCAUUGACUCACUCCAUCAUUGAUUCGAACUUGGAUUAUCAAGAGUGACUCUGAAACAAACACAGUAUUUUUGCUUUGCCAUGCUUCUCAGAUAAACUCUUUGAGCCUUAAUAUUUCCAUAAGUUCCUAGACUUAUUUAUUGACAAAACUUUCAGCAUGCCUUAUUUCAGCUUACAAUCAUGUCUCUUUCAUGUGUUGGCCUUUUGUCUUGCUUUGUGUAAUUGAAGAAGCUGGUAGCCAGUUUUGAAAUCUUUUCUCACUUGUUUUGAUAUAGAGUUGACUCAAAGACAAGAGAAAAAUGACAAUGACUUUUAUUUGGAUAAUUGACUCGAGAAAACAAAAUAAAAAUAAAGAGAAGAAAGAAAAGACAAUGAAUGUCCCCAUUUGAAAUAAAGAAAUGAAAAAACUAUCUAGAAAUAACAAUCAACUCUAAUGAUUAUACCAUGUAUAUUGGAUCAAGCUUCCCGAUCUUUCCAUCCAAACUUUCUACCAAUUGUUCUUGAGUUAAUGGCUCUGAAACUAAGUUACUUGCUUGGACCCAUUGCAUUCUAAGAGCUCAUUCGGCUAGUGGCACAUUGAAGGAUUUUUGCCAACAAGUCUCUCAUUUUUCUCUCAACUCACCAUCGCCUUAUGAUGCCCAUGGUGCCCAUGGGUUUUCACCAAUAAAACUCUCUCAUUUUUAUCUCUCUCAACUUAUCAUUGCCUUAUGGUGCCCGUGAGGGUUUUCACCAAUAAAAUUCUCAUUUUUAUUUCUCUCCUAAUUUCUUAUGCAAAGAAAGACGAGUAGUUCCCAAAAUGUGUCAUCAUAUCCAUUGCAUGCUUAGUCUUAACAUUCUCAAAGAUUGAUCUGAAGGUCUUUCUUUGGUUGUAACUAAUUUUUUGGAGAGGGUUAGAAAGAAAGGAUGGCAUGGGGCCCAAAUAACACUUGAAGUGGGGUGACACUUACAAUUUUUGGAAUCGACUCAAACAAUGAGGAUACCUCAUGCCCCAGUUUAUUUUGACUAGGUGACUAUAAAUUGUUUAUUUGGUUGGACCGAGCCUCGGGUAGAGGAGCCUACGUAUCUCACCCCCGAGAGAAGAGAAUCAGGUCAUGCGUAGUUCUGACAGCUUGUUCUUUUACUUGAUUCUGAUUAUUUUUCCUUUUAUUGACUUUUUCUCUUUGGAACUUUUCUGACUCUAUUUUUCUGAAUAGAUUUUUACGAGACCUGCGAAGAGGAUAAUUUGUAAAAAAAAAAAAAAAACCAUACUUUUAGUUGACUUUCAUUCUAUAUAUUUCCAACAGUGAUUCGAAUCCAUAUUCUCUACUAAUUCUAGGUAGACACAAGCAACCACAUAUCGUAAUAUACAAGAUGAGUAACGAGUGAUGCGAGACGAGAUGAUUUGUAUAUUCCUAAAACUCAAUCUGUAAAUAAUAUAAAGAGAGUAGAUGAAACAAAUAUGCACCUAAAAGGGCGAUGUACAGUUGUGUGACUCCUCUAACUCAUAUGUAUUUGGUAAAAUAUAAAACAGGGGAGGAUAAACUCGUCACACUAAACAUCCAUAUAUUGAACAGUCGACAAUUUAAAACAAGGCCCCAUAUUCAGGAAUCGUAUUCGCAGAGAACAAGAAACAACACCAACAUAUACUUAAAAGCCAAAUAAGUUACAUAUUAACAUAGCCAAAAUAUAUGUAAGAGAAAAGGGAUGAAGGCCGAGUGAUGACCUUGUUUUGAGCAGCAAACUUGAGGCUUCAACGUCAAGUUUCCGGCUUGAGCUCGACUUUGGAACUCAAUCUCGGAAUCAAGAAAAUACCAAAGAUUUUUUAAAAAAUUGAAUGUGUGCUCUCCCCUCUCCGAAUUUGAAAUCUUAAUUUUCUCUCUUAUCCCCCGAAACCGUGAACCCCGUUUUGAACCUUUCUCAACGAAGUCCCUUUAUUUCGGAUUUCCCCCAAUUUUCUAAAUCUCCCUCUUCUAUUUUUGAACAUCCAAAAAACCCCCAAUCCAUUCACCCUCCAAUCAAAAACCUCCCCACCUCAAGAGUGAAAAAUGUAACUAUUUAUCGGCAAAUCCGGACUUGAAAGUCCGGAUUUGAAACCAAAAAUUUGCAGGGGCCAACGGGCAAAUCGAAGGGGAGGAAAUCAAAAUUUAAAAAUUGAAAGGGACCUCACAUACUCGAAAUUUCAAACGUUUCUCAUGCCUUAAUGGUGGAUUUCAAAAGACACCUCUAUUACUGCACCAAUUUGGGACUGUUUCUCUCUGAUUUCAGAGAUUCGUGGGUUGGACUUGGCCGAGAAGGGGAGAAUCUUGGUAGGCUAGCGGCAGGGGCGCGACAGCUAUUGCUGCUAGCCCCUCCGAUUUGGGUGAGAGAGAGGAAAUGGGAAGAGAAAGGAAAAAAGUCGUUUGAUUUUGUUUUGUUUUGGGAAGAGUUAUGCUGAUGGAACGUUGCUCCUUGGGAAAGGAAAAGCGUGUAUUUGCCUAGGGGAGAGGAAGACAGUUGUUUGUAUUGGUUCCUUGAUUAAUUUUGAUCCAUGAAUAAAUAUUCUAAAAAUAAUAGUAAAGUAUAUAUAAGCUGAUUUAAAAUUGAUUAUUUUGUUUUUAUGUUUUAGGUUUAUCAUUAAAAGUUUGUAUUAGAAGAGUCAAAGAUAGUAGAACAAAAAUAUUCUGGUCGAAAAAGAAUAGAUCAAUUUUCUUAUUUAUUUUCCUCCAAAUAAGAUGGUCUUUGUUUCAAUGACAAUACUUGUCAAAUUUGUCUUUCGGAGUUUUAAAAAAAAUGUGUUUGUACUCCCAUG
RNAcentral lists this long non-coding RNA (4932 nucleotides) under Capsicum annuum. RNAcentral's name for it is "long non-coding RNA (CANN_LNC012119)". Lineage: Eukaryota; Viridiplantae; Streptophyta; Magnoliopsida; Solanales; Solanaceae. The record is from RNAcentral.